AUAGGGGCUCUGAUCUUGGUAUGACUCCAAACAACAAUGGAAAAGUGAUAAGAUUGACUCUCCCUCAACUUACAUCAGAAAGGAGGAAGGAAUUCUUAAAAAUAGUAGCUAAACUGGCUGAAGAAGGGAAGGUGGCAUUGAGGAACAUAAGAAGAGAUGCUUUAAAAGCUUGCCAAAAACUUGAGAAGGAGAAAAAGCUCUCUGAAGACAUUGCGAAGGACUUGUCAAGC
Molecule: long non-coding RNA, 230 nt
Organism: Quercus lobata
Lineage: Eukaryota; Viridiplantae; Streptophyta; Magnoliopsida; Fagales; Fagaceae
Exons: 4
Source: RefSeq, a predicted model, not a curated record